Molecule: long non-coding RNA, 2244 nt
Organism: Equus caballus (horse)
Lineage: Eukaryota; Metazoa; Chordata; Mammalia; Perissodactyla; Equidae
Source: Ensembl
GGGAAGGGGAGCUGAGAUUUUCCAAGGACCUAGUUCAUAGCAGGCUGUUUCAUAGGUGAGGGUUAGGGUGGUGAUGUCACAGUCUGGGUGCCCGGUGAAGGAUGAGGUUCAACCUGCACUUAGCUAACCCCACUGGCCAAGAGGGAGAGAAGGAGGAGUGGAGGAGGCUGGAUGCCUGUGGGCCCGGGGAUGGGGAAGGAAUGGUCCGUGCUUUUCUGCGCUGCAGUGUGAGCGUGGGGGGCAGCAGUGACCCGGACAGGGCCUCGAAUGACGUGCCAGACAAGACAACUUCAUUCAGUUAGAAACUGAAAGAUUUAAACAACCACCAUUCAAAUUCUCAACUAAUUUUUUCAUGCUCCAAGGCCCUUUGCUGGACUCUCUUCCUAGAAAGGAAGGGGAAGAGACAUCGAUAUUGACUGACCUCCUACUGUGGGCGGGUCUCUGGGAAACGGAAAGAAGGGAGACAUACAUCCCGCCCUCAAGAGGCUCAGGUCCACAGGGAGAAGCAAGAGAAGGACAGGGGCUGCAGGACCCCGGAGGAGAGGCUGCUCCCUCAUCCUGAGCUCGACGCUGCUCAGAGCUUUGGACAAUGGGAAGGAGAUGGCUGAGCUGAGCCUUCUGGGCAGAGAUGCACCAAGGAAAGAAGCUGGGAGGGGUGUUCCAGGCGGAGGGUGCUGUCAGUAGGCCAGGCUGCCGCAGCCCCAAGGAGACGGGGAGUGGCCCCGAGGGGACGUGGCUGUUGGAAGCGCUGAGUCCAGGCUGCUCCAACAGAGGUCUCAUUAGAGAAGCACGGGGCCACCGCGACUCAGACGCCACUGAGGAGGGAUCUGUGGCCCUCGCUGGGAUGGAGGGGCUGGGGGCUCCGUCCGGGUCAUGAUGGUCGCAGGAGUUGGCGGUCGUGCCAGGAGCUGCACAGACUCAGGGCAGAGCUGCUGCCUUUAAAUCUCAUCAGGCGUGUUGGGGGCAGCGGGAGCAGAUGUGCCAUGGGGUGUGGCCCCUGGGAAGGCCUGAGACUGUCAUGGUCCUCAUGGUUGUUUGCACAGGGGUCAUUUGUGGGUAUGGUGUCCCCAGAGACGCCACCCCAUUUCAUUCCACAUCAUGCCCAGACUUUCUGUGUGGGGCCUUCGGUUUGGCACCGUGGGCCUCAGACCUGUCCUCCUCAAGGGUCACUCCAGCCUCUAAAAUCUCCCUCCUCCACCCCAACAUUCUUCUCCAUCUUCGAGGCUGUCCAUUCCUACGGUGCAUGGAUCUCGGCACAGUGCUCGUGCUUGGCAAUCAUCUGAUCUAGUUUUGGGUCACUUGCUGCAUGAUGUGUGGUAAACCUGCUCAGCUCUCUGGGCCUCGGUGUCUUUUACUGGGUCAGGAAACUGAGAGUCCCUGUCCUAGGGCCUCCCUUGCCCAGGUGUGGAAGAAUCAAAUGAGGUGAAGAACGGUGGCGAGCACAUUAUAAUUGUUGGAGGCAGCCCGGGGUGGGGAAGAAACGGCGUAGAUCCUGGCCCCUGGCCAUGGCCAACCCCUUCACUGCUGGGGCCUCAGAUCCUGGAAGUUCUUGCAGGGCAGGGGUCAUUGCCUGGCCCAUGGGGCCCUGCCUUGUCUGUUCUCUGCCUACUUCCCCAGACUCGCCUAGUGCUACUCCCCCUUUCUCUCUGCUCUCUGCACACAAGGAGGAAAUGAGUUCAGCACUCCCCUGCCUCAGGGCCUUGGCACAUGUUGUUCUUCUGCAUGGAGCACUCUACCCCAAACCGUUCCUCUGGCUUACUCCUCCUCAGCAUUCAGGUCCCAGCUUAAAGAUUAUUUUAGAGAGGGCUCCUUCACCCCCUCUCCUGUGGUAUGCUCUCUUUGCCCCUAGUAUCUUCUUUUCAAAGCUUUGUAAAGUGUAUGUUAAUGGAGUGGAGGUUCGUUUUGCCUGUCUGCCUCUGUGGACUGUAAACUGGAUGAAGUCAAGGAUAAGGUCUGUUUUGUUCACCACUGUCUUCCCUGUACCUCAUCCAAUGCUUGACCCACAAUCAAUGCCCAAUAAGUAUUUGUCCAACUGAGCGAAGGAGCUAUGCAGUCAGCUUGGAGGUCACUAUCAACGUGUCCGUGUGGCUUACAGGGAAACAAACUUGGAGAGGAGAGGCAUCUGGACCAGCUUCUCAGAGCUGAGGAGUAUAGUUGGGGCAUCAGUACAUCCUGAGGGCCUGUACUGGGAAUUGGGAGGGCAGAGAGAAUAAUCAGAGGGGCCCCAGGGAGGUCUGCCACCUU